AGCUUGCUCCCGGAUGUUAGCGGCGGACGGGUGASUAACACGUGGGUAACCUGCCUGUAAGACUGGGAUAACUCCGGGAAACCGGAGCUAAUACCGGAUAGUUCCUUGAACCGCAUGGUUCAAGGAUGAAAGACGGUUUCGGCUGUCACUUACAGAUGGACCCGCGGCGCAUUAGCUAGUUGGUGGGGUAAUGGCUCACCAAGGCGACGAUGCGUAGCCGACCUGAGAGGGUGAUCGGCCACACUGGGACUGAGACACGGCCCAGACUCCUACGGGAGGCAGCAGUAGGGAAUCUUCCGCAAUGGACGAAAGUCUGACGGAGCAACGCCGCGUGAGUGAUGAAGGUUUUCGGAUCGUAAAGCUCUGUUGUUAGGGAAGAACAAGUGCGAGAGUAACUGCUCGCACCUUGACGGUACCUAACCAGAAAGCCACGGCUAACUACGUGCCAGCAGCCGCGGUAAUACGUAGGUGGCAAGCGUUGUCCGGAAUUAUUGGGCGUAAAGGGCUCGCAGGCGGUUUCUUAAGUCUGAUGUGAAAGCCCCCGGCUCAACCGGGGAGGGUCAUUGGAAACUGGGAAACUUGAGUGCAGAAGAGGAGAGUGGAAUUCCACGUGUAGCGGUGAAAUGCGUAGAGAUGUGGAGGAACACCAGUGGCGAAGGCGACUCUCUGGUCUGUAACUGACGCUGAGGAGCGAAAGCGUGGGGAGCGAACAGGAUUAGAUACCCUGGUAGUCCACGCCGUAAACGAUGAGUGCUAAGUGUUAGGGGGUUUCCGCCCCUUAGUGCUGCAGCUAACGCAUUAAGCACUCCGCCUGGGGAGUACGGUCGCAAGACUGAAACUCAAAGGAAUUGACGGGGGCCCGCACAAGCGGUGGAGCAUGUGGUUUAAUUUCGAAGCAACGCGAAGAACCUUACCAGGUCUUGACAUCCUCUGACAACCCUAGAGAUAGGGCUUUCCCUUCGGGGACAGAGUGACAGGUGGUGCAUGGUUGUCGUCAGCUCGUGUCGUGAGAUGUUGGGUUAAGUCCCGCAACGAGCGCAACCCUUGAUCUUAGUUGCCAGCAUUCAGUUGGGCACUCUAAGGUGACUGCCGGUGACAAACCGGAGGAAGGUGGGGAUGACGUCAAAUCAUCAUGCCCCUUAUGACCUGGGCUACACACGUGCUACAAUGGACAGAACAAAGGGCUGCAAGACCGCAAGGUUUAGCCAAUCCCAUAAAUCUGUUCUCAGUUCGGAUCGCAGUCUGCAACUCGACUGCGUGAAGCUGGAAUCGCUAGUAAUCGCGGAUCAGCAUGCCGCGGUGAAUACGUUCCCGGGCCUUGUACACACCGCCCGUCACACCACGAGAGUUUGCAACACCCGAAGUCGGUGAGGUAACCUUU
This 1381-nucleotide ribosomal RNA is filed under the name Bacillus sp. LO_3. Its description in RNAcentral is "bacterial SSU rRNA". It matches the Rfam family "Bacterial small subunit ribosomal RNA", at positions 77 to 1443 of the family's 1533-position model. Lineage: Bacteria; Bacillati; Bacillota; Bacilli; Caryophanales; Bacillaceae. The record is from RNAcentral.